This 276-nucleotide long non-coding RNA is filed under the name Elaeis guineensis (African oil palm). RNAcentral's name for it is "long non-coding RNA (EGUI_LNC047605)". Lineage: Eukaryota; Viridiplantae; Streptophyta; Magnoliopsida; Arecales; Arecaceae. The record is from RNAcentral.
AACAGGUCCGAACUCUCUGGUAAGUCAUGACAAUGGCCACUACCCUACUCCACUCUCUGCAAUGGAUUCCACGUGGCUCCACCACUCUCUGGCAAGUCACGACAAUGGCCACUACCCUUCUCCAUUCUCUGCAAUGGAUUCUGCGUGGCUCCACCACUCUCUGGCAAGUCGCGACAAUGGACACCACUCUACUCUCCGUAACAAACUCCACAUGGCCCUGAACGGCCCCUGACGCCACUACUCUCCAUAACAAACUCCGCAUGGCUCUGAACGGCC